Molecule: ribosomal RNA, 466 nt
Filed under: uncultured bacterium
Lineage: Bacteria
Description: partial 16S ribosomal RNA
Rfam family: Bacterial small subunit ribosomal RNA
Source: RNAcentral
GAUGAACGCUGGCGGCGUGCUUAACACAUGCAAGUCGAACGGAAAGGCUCCUGCUUGCAGGGGUACUCGAGUGGCGAACGGGUGAGUAACACGUGGGUGAUCUGCCCUGCACUUCGGGAUAAGCCUGGGAAACUGGGUCUAAUACCGGAUAGGACGAUGGUUUGGAUGCCAUUGUGGAAAGUUUUUUCGGUGUGGGAUGAGCUCGCGGCCUAUCAGCUUGUUGGUGGGGUAAUGGCCUACCAAGGCGUCGACGGGUAGCCGGCCUGAGAGGGUGUACGGCCACAUUGGGCCUGCGAUACGGCCCAGAAUCCUACGGGCGGCAGCAGUGGGGAAUAUUGCACAAUGGGCGCAAGCCUGAUGCAGCGACGCCGCGUGGGGGAUGACGGCCUUCGGGUUGUAAACUCCUUUCGCUAGGGACGAAGCGCAAGUGACGGUACCUGGAGAAGAAGCACCGGCUAACUACGUG